RNAcentral lists this ribosomal RNA (253 nucleotides) under uncultured bacterium. RNAcentral describes it as "partial 16S ribosomal RNA". It matches the Rfam family "Bacterial small subunit ribosomal RNA", at positions 524 to 776 of the family's 1533-position model. The record is from RNAcentral.
UACGGAGGGUGCAAGCGUUAUCCGGAUUCACUGGGCUUAAAGGGCGCGUAGGCGGGUAGGUAAGUCAGUGGUGAAAUCUUCGAGCUUAACUCGGAAACUGCCUUUGAUACUAUCUAUCUUGAAUAUUGUGGAGGUAAGCGGAAUAUGUCAUGUAGCGGUGAAAUGCUUAGAUAUGACAUAGAACACCGAUUGCGAAGGCAGCUUACUGCGCAUAUAUUGACGCUGAGGCACGAAAGCGUGGGGAGCAAACAGG